GUGCUGACGGUGGGGGAGUAGUCCUUCCUUCUUGA
This 35-nucleotide transfer RNA is filed under the name Microtus obscurus (Altai voie). Its description in RNAcentral is "partial tRNA-Pro". The record is from RNAcentral. Lineage: Eukaryota; Metazoa; Chordata; Mammalia; Rodentia; Cricetidae.